This is a long non-coding RNA of Clupea harengus (Atlantic herring), 897 nucleotides long. Lineage: Eukaryota; Metazoa; Chordata; Actinopteri; Clupeiformes; Clupeidae. The record is from Ensembl.
CUUUUCUUCCGGCCCCUGCGGGACAGAGGAGAUGCCAGCCUCAUGGCGGCUGGAGGGGUGGACAGAGCCGGUACACUGGGGAGCGGAGAAACUGAGGUGGAUGUCUCGGGGGAGGCCUCAUGUGUGGCUGGGGUGGAUGGCUGGACAGAGGCCUCGGGUGUUGGGGUGGAUGGCUGGACAGAGGCCUCGGGUGAAGAGGUGGAUGGCUGGACAGAGGCCUCGGGUGUUGGGGUGGAUAACGAAGGUCCUUUCUUCGUGGCUACGUUGCAAGGUGAGGGCUGUUCAUGAUAAUAAAAGAACAGAAAGUCUGUUAGCAAUAUGAAAAUGGCAUAUGACUACAAUGGUGAAAGUAACAUAACUGUAUUCAUUACAUCAACAAUGUAUACACUUUAAAGUGGCAUUAUGUAGCAAUUGUCCUUCAGGAUUAGGGUUAGUAUAAGCAGUUUUCUCUUAAAAUAACAGCUUUAAAAAAAUUGGGGCGCUACAAUGACUUAAUAUGGAGAAUCGCCUCCGUGCCAUUGCCAUACCAGGGUCCGUAGGCAAAUGACUGGUUUAUGUAAGUUUGCCUGAAGCCGCCCGGUUUUUACUGUCUGCCAAACUAGUAAGUAGCUUAUUUGUCGUCUUGCUCUGUCUUGUGUUGCACUUGCUUGAUGUUUGACUGUGUUAGGACAGUUGUUGACUAACUAGUUUGUCAUAAUGUCAAAGUCAGCACAUUUUAAGAGAUUUCGUUAGUUUUUGCCGCUAGCAUAUCGUUAGCGAUUAGCAAUUGUUCCGUUAUGCUACUUUAGGAACAGACAGUUGGUCUUUGUCCUUGCAUUUUAAGUCUAUGACCAGAAGUCUUGGUUAUGGAAUGGAUUACUAACGAAAAUGACGAGAUAGAAAACAUAUAGGCAAUAC